GUUUGUAGCAGGGUUUGGUUCUUGGGUUGGGGUUUUUGUUGGGUGGUGUGUAGUUGCUGGUGGGUAUUUGCUUCAGGUUGGGGGAUGCAUGAGGGGCUAGAGGGUCUGAAGGGGACUGUCUGUGGCUUCAUAGUAACUAAUAUAGUACUUUGGAAGCAGACAUUUAUUAUUGGCUUGGUGAAGUCUUGUGAUCGAGUAUACCAUCAGUUAGGGGUACAUGCCCUGUUUUCUGGCAGUCUGACCUGAGAUUGGCACUCUUAGUUGUGUCCCAUAUCAGGCAGUGUGACCGUUACAAUGCACAUUUGUCUAGGCCCAACAGUACUUCAGACUCUGCAAGAUAUACAGGGAGGGCACACAACCUAGCAAUCUUACCCUGAUUGAGGAAUCCCUCCCCACACUUUCGAUCAAUUUUCUUUGAUUAACCUACCAGGCAGGUGAAUUCUGACACCACUCUCAUGUUCUCUCUCAUUGUCCAGCAGAAAUUCUGGUGGGGUUUACUAAGAUAUUUUCUCUGAGGAGAGGGGGAUAGCCUCCUGCACGAGGUGCUUUACAGAAAUGGAAUUACAAGAUACGUGGGAGAUGCUAUGCUACUUAUACCACAAGGCUAGAGACAUAUGUUGUCUCUGUGCCCUUACACCUCCAGUCCAGAUGCCACAUUUCAGUGGUCUGAAAUCCAAGCUGAGUAAAUCCCACCUCAAGGAGAUACUGGUGCAUACCCAGAAAAUUCAUUUAAAAAAAAAAAAGAGGGAGGAACUUCUCACUUAUCUAUUUUCCUUCCCUAAACAGGCUCUCACAAACAUGUCAGUAAGGGGAAAGAAAUAAGAAAAAUCUGCUCUCUCUUAUAUUUGUUCCUAACAUAAAAAUAUAUAUGUACUCGUCCCCUCCCACCCCUCUGCCCCGCCCCACUCACCGUGAGUGUAUUGAUAGCAGUUUUCAGCUUGUGCUAUUUGAAGUGUGAAUUAGGGAAGAAGACCUUGUAAGGGUCCGAGGGGCAUGCUCCCAAUGGAAAUUGUUUUAAAAUGUGCAUAUCUGCCAUUUGGUGCAAUCUGGUCCCUUUCAAAGUUUAAAAAAUAUGCUCCUCAGCUAUAGUUUCAUGAUCCCCAGGGACGUGUAUUUCUGUCAGGAAUGAUUCAGUAACAUCCACCAGGGCUAUGAGAGGAGGGUGAACUCCUGAGGCUGGAAAUCCGCCAACCUCCCUUUGUUGACAGAUCGUUAACAAAGGGGAGCCUGAGAAUGCCCAACAGCAUCAUCAUGGAGGGACUGGGCCACACUGAUUAAAGUUUCUCACUGCUAGAGGUCUUCCCCCCAGCUCCAAACACCAGCCAACACAAUACAGAGGAAGCUUGAGCUGCUGCUGUUCGGUAAUAAAGAGAGGAAAUCGCUACCUAGGGCUAUUAAU
RNAcentral lists this long non-coding RNA (1399 nucleotides) under Chrysemys picta bellii (western painted turtle). Its description in RNAcentral is "lncRNA (ENSCPBG00000017529.1)". Lineage: Eukaryota; Metazoa; Chordata; Testudines; Emydidae. The record is from RNAcentral.